AUUCUGGCUGAUCCCGCCAGAGAGCAUCGCUAUCCGAGUUCUACUAAGCCAUGCGAGCCGAUCGGGUAAGACCCGAGGCGAAUUGCUCCGUAAUACAUAGUCAACCUUCCCUUAGCUGGUGGACAAACUCGCAAACGUGAGGCUAAUCCACCAUAGUUCUAGUUAACUGGAAUGUGGCUAGAACGAAAGCUUUUGCGGCCAAGGAUGGGACUGUGGCCGAUCAGGCUGUUGAUGGUGUAACGAACUAUCAAACCAGUUACCGGUACGGGCCAUGGAAGUGGAAGCCCGGAGAUGGAUUCUGAGACAUGAAUCCAGGUACUACGGUACGCAGCAGGUAAGAAAACUUUUCAAUGCUUUAACGAGCGAAAAGGGAACUUGGAGUGUUUCUGUUUUACAGAAACUUUUACCCUCUGAAAACAGGAGGGAGAAUAAGAGCCGGGCAAUACGGGUGCCAGCCGCCAUGUUAUUUAAAUGGUAGCACGGUAAACGGUAAUACCCGAGGCUCGAGUGAUGCUCACUAUUAUUGGGUCUAAAGCGUCCGUAGCCGGCUUGAAAAGUUCCUUGUGAAAUCUGGCAGCAAACUGUCAGGCUUGCGGGGAAUACUUUCAGGCUUGAGAGAGGGAGAGGGUAGAGGUACUUCUAGUGUAGGGGUUAAAUCCUUUAAUCCUAGAGGGACCACCUGUGGCGUGAGAGAUUUCUUCACACAUAAGGCGUCUGCCUGGAACUCGUCUGACGGUGAGGGACGAAGGCUAGGGGAGCGAUCGGGAUUAGAUAUGGUGAUGUGUUAUUGAUUUCAUUUGCCAAAGUUAGCACCUCACUACUAAACACCCCGGUAGUCCUAGCAGUAAACAAUGCCCACUUGGUGUUGCAAUCUUCUUGGGAGAUUGCAGUGCCGGAGCGUAGGUGUUAAGUGGGCCACCUGGGGAGUAUAGUCGCAAGGCCGAAACUUAAGGGAAUUGGCGGGGGAGCACACAAGCGGUGGAGGCUGCGGUUCAAUUGGAUUCAACGCCGGGAAAGAUGGAAUGUUCUAUCAAAUUGUCCAGGGGCGACGGCAGUAUGAGGGUCAGGCUGAAGGUCUUACCAGACAAGCCGAGAGCUGCUGCAUGGCCAUCGUCAGCUCGUAUCGUGAGACGUGCCGUUAAGUCGGUUAACGAGCGAGAUCCACAUCACAUGUUGCUAAUCUUCUGUCCGCAGGAGAUGCACUCAUGCGAGACCGCUGGUGAUAAACCAGAGGAAGGAGUGGGCGACGGUAGGUCUGUAUGGCGCGAACCUUCUGGGCUACACGCGGCCUACAAUGCAUGCCACAAUGGGAUGCGACUCCGAAAGGAAAAGCAAAUCCCCUAAAAGCAUGCUCAGUUCGAAUCGAAGGUUGUAAUUCAUCUUCGUGAAGCCGGAAUCGCUAGUAGGCGAACGUCAUCA
This 1419-nucleotide ribosomal RNA is filed under the name Candidatus Aenigmatarchaeota archaeon. Its description in RNAcentral is "bacterial SSU rRNA". It matches the Rfam family "Archaeal small subunit ribosomal RNA", at positions 1 to 1310 of the family's 1478-position model. The record is from RNAcentral. Lineage: Archaea; Nanobdellati; Candidatus Aenigmatarchaeota.